This 391-nucleotide ribosomal RNA is filed under the name Gammaproteobacteria bacterium. RNAcentral describes it as "bacterial SSU rRNA". It matches the Rfam family "Bacterial small subunit ribosomal RNA", at positions 1 to 400 of the family's 1533-position model. The record is from RNAcentral. RNAcentral also lists the same sequence under 1 other name. Lineage: Bacteria; Pseudomonadati; Pseudomonadota; Gammaproteobacteria.
UAUUUGAAGAGUUUGAUCAUGGCUCAGAUUGAACGCUGGCGGCAGACCUCAUACAUGCAAGUCGAACGAGAAAGUAUCUUCGGAUACGAGUAAAGUGGCGGACGGGUGAGUAAUACAUAGGAAUCUACCCAAUGGAGGGGGAUAGCUCGAGGAAACUCGAAUUAAUACCGCAUAAUCUCUAUGGAGCAAAGGGGGGCUUCGGCUCCUGCCAAUGGAUGAGCCUAUGCAAGAUUAGCUUGUUGGUAAGGUAAUGGCUUACCAAGGCAACGAUCUUUAGCUGGUUUGAGAGGAUGACCAGCCACAUCGGGACUGAGACACGGCCCGGACUUCUACGGAAGGCAGCAGUAGGGAAUAUUGGACAAUGAGCGAAAGCUUGAUCCAGCUAUGCCGC